UACGUAGGGUGCGAGCGUUAAUCGGAAUUACUGGGCGUAAAGCGUGCGCAGGCGGUUUUGUAAGUCCGAUGUGAAAUCCCCGGGCUUAACCUGGGAACUGCGUUUGAAACUACAAGGCUAGAGUGUGGCAGAGGGGGGUGGAAUUCCACGUGUAGCAGUGAAAUGCGUAGAGAUGUGGAGGAACACCGAUGGCGAAGGCAGCCCCCUGGGUCAAGAUUGACGCUCAUGCACGAAAGCGUGGGGAGCAAACAGG
RNAcentral lists this ribosomal RNA (253 nucleotides) under uncultured bacterium. Its description in RNAcentral is "partial 16S ribosomal RNA". It matches the Rfam family "Bacterial small subunit ribosomal RNA", at positions 524 to 776 of the family's 1533-position model. The record is from RNAcentral.